RNAcentral lists this microRNA precursor (149 nucleotides) under Gossypium arboreum. RNAcentral describes it as "MIR7502 microRNA precursor family". It matches the Rfam family "MIR7502 microRNA precursor family". The record is from Rfam by way of RNAcentral. Lineage: Eukaryota; Viridiplantae; Streptophyta; Magnoliopsida; Malvales; Malvaceae.
UAUUAAAAAUUUCAUCCAUUUGUACUAUUAUAAAUUAGUGUGGUUGAUGAAAUAACUAAAUAGUGACAUGUGGCAUGCAAAGCAAAGUGUACCUCAACUAACGUACAUGGACCAACUUUUAAUAGUAGAAAUGAAUAAUUUUUUUAACA